RNAcentral lists this ribosomal RNA (502 nucleotides) under uncultured Sphingobacteriales bacterium. Its description in RNAcentral is "bacterial SSU rRNA". It matches the Rfam family "Bacterial small subunit ribosomal RNA", at positions 903 to 1382 of the family's 1533-position model. Lineage: Bacteria; Pseudomonadati; Bacteroidota; Sphingobacteriia; Sphingobacteriales. The record is from RNAcentral.
CGCCUUGCCAGCCCGCUCAGAAACUCAAAGGAAUUGACGGGGGCCCGCACAAGCGGUGGAGCAUGUGGUUUAAUUCGAUGAUACACGAGGAGCCUUACCUGGGCUCAAAUGUAUGUUGACGUAUUCUGAAAGGGAUACUUCUUCGGACAAUAUACGAGGUGCUGCAUGGUUGUCGUCAGCUCGUGCCGUGAGGUGUCGGGUUAAGUCCCAUAACGAGCGCAACCCCUACCUUUAGUUGCCAUCAGGUUAAGCUGGGGACUCUAAAGGAACUGCCUACGCAAGUAGUGAGGAAGGCGGGGAUGACGUCAAAUCAGCACGGCCCUUACGUCCAGGGCUACACACGUGCUACAAUGGCCGAUACAGAGGGCAGCUACCUGGUGACAGGAUGCAAAUCUCCAAAGUCGGUCUCAGUUCGGAUCGGAGUCUGCAACCCGACUCCGUGAAGUCGGAAUCGCUAGUAAUCGUGAAUCAGAAUGUCACGGUGAAUACGUUCCCGGGCCUU